GACGAACGCUGGCGGCGUGCUUAACACAUGCAAGUCGAACGGAAAGGCCAUGCUUUUGUGGGGUGCUCGAGUGGCGAACGGGUGAGUAACACGCGAGUAACCUGCCCUUGACUUUGGGAUAACUUCAGGAAACUGGGGCUAUUACAGGAUAGGAGCUCCUGCUGCAUGGUGGGGGUUGGAAAGAUUCGGCGGUUGGGGAUGGACUCGCGGCUUAUCAGCUUGUUGGUGGAGUAGUGGCUUACAAAGGCUUUGACGGGUAGCCGGCCUGAGAGGGUGACCGGCCACAUUGGGACUGAGGUACGGCCCAGACUCCAACGGGCGGCAGCAGUGGGGAAUAUUGCACAAUGAGCGGAAGCCUGAUGCAGCAACGCCGCGUGCGGAAUGACGGCCUUCGGGUUGUAAACCGCUUUCGCCUGUGACGAAGCGUGAGUGACGGUAAUGGGUAAAGAAGCACCGGCUAACUACGUG
This 468-nucleotide ribosomal RNA is filed under the name uncultured bacterium. RNAcentral's name for it is "partial 16S ribosomal RNA". It matches the Rfam family "Bacterial small subunit ribosomal RNA", at positions 28 to 507 of the family's 1533-position model. The record is from RNAcentral.